This 467-nucleotide ribosomal RNA is filed under the name Elachodelphax metcalfi. RNAcentral describes it as "partial 16S ribosomal RNA". It matches the Rfam family "Archaeal large subunit ribosomal RNA", at positions 1999 to 2669 of the family's 2987-position model. Lineage: Eukaryota; Metazoa; Arthropoda; Insecta; Hemiptera; Delphacidae. The record is from RNAcentral.
UUUAAAUAGCUGCAGUAUUUUAACUGUACAAAGGUAGCGUAGUAAUUAGUCUUUUAAUUGAGGUCUUGAAUGAAAGGUUUGACAAGAGGAAAACUUUAUUAAAUUAAUAAUGUAAAUUUUAUUUUUUAGUUAAAAAGCUAAAAUUUUUAAAUGGGACGAUAAGACCCUAUAGAUCUUUAAUUUUUUGUUAUUUAAAUCAAUUAAUGAUUAUUUGAGGUUUAUUUAUAAAAAUUUUUUGUUGGGGUGACGGUUAAAAUAUUAAAACUUUAAUGUUUAUAUACAUUUAAUUAAUGAAUUUUAUGAACCCAACUUUUGGGUUGUUAAAAUAAGAUACCUUAGGGAUAACAGCGUAAUAAAUUUGUAUAGUUCUUAUAGAUAAAUUUGUUUACGACCUCGAUGUUGAAUUAAUUUUAAGUUUUGGGGCAGAAAUCAAAAUUUUAGGUCUGUUCGACCUUUAAAAAAUUACA